This is a non-coding RNA of Callorhinus ursinus (northern fur seal), 217 nucleotides long. The record is from RefSeq and is a predicted model, not a curated record. NCBI's taxonomy places the organism in Eukaryota, Metazoa, Chordata, Mammalia, Carnivora, Otariidae.
UUCCCAAAGGAUGCAGUGAACGUUGUGUGGGGCCUCGAAAACUAAAAGUGGUAAAAACUGCUCUUUGAAGUUUACUACCAGGAUCUAAAGUCUUAACAGACCAAAUGGGAGGACAUGACCUUGAGUGGAGGACAGUGUCUCCCAUGAGGCAGGAGGGGAGAAGGCAGAGCCUCCGAGACUGUGCACGAUGGAAGAGACGUAACUGAAAAGGAUAUCA